GUCUGGUGGGUAGUUUGACUGGGGCGGUCUCCUCCUAAAGAGUAACGGAGGAGCACGAAGGUUGGCUAAUCCUGGUCGGACAUCAGGAGGUUAGUGCAAUGGCAUAAGCCAGCUUGACUGCGAGCGUGACGGCGCGAGCAGGUGCGAAAGCAGGUCAUAGUGAUCCGGUGGUUCUGAAUGGAAGGGCCAUCGCUCAACGGAUAAAAGGUACUCCGGGGAUAACAGGCUGAUACCGCCCAAGAGUUCAUAUCGACGGCGGUGUUUGGCACCUCGAUGUCGGCUCAUCACAUCCUGGGGCUGAAGUAGGUCCCAAGGGUAUGGCUGUUCGCCAUUUAAAGUGGUACGCGAGCUGGGUUUAGAACGUCGUGAGACAGUUCGGUCCCUAUCUGCCGUGGGCGCUGGAGAACUGAGGGGGGCUGCUCCUAGUACGAGAGGACCGGAGUGGACGCAUCACUGGUGUUCGGGUUGUCAUGCCAAUGGCACUGCCCGGUAGCUAAAUGCGGAAGAGAUAAGUGCUGAAAGCAUCUAAGCACGAAACUUGCCCCGAGAUGAGUUCUCCCUGAGACUUUAGGUCUCCUGAAGGAACGUUGAAGACGACGACGUUGAUAGGCCGGGUGUGUAAGCGCAGCGAUGCGUUGAGCUAACCGGUACUAAUGAACCGUGAGGCUUAACCUUACAAC
This 680-nucleotide ribosomal RNA is filed under the name Salmonella enterica subsp. enterica serovar Napoli. RNAcentral's name for it is "partial 23S ribosomal RNA". It matches the Rfam family "Bacterial large subunit ribosomal RNA", at positions 2256 to 2925 of the family's 2925-position model. Lineage: Bacteria; Pseudomonadati; Pseudomonadota; Gammaproteobacteria; Enterobacterales; Enterobacteriaceae. The record is from RNAcentral.